ACUCUUGUAAUAUUAUUUAUCAUCUUUUGAAGAAACCAAAGGGAUUCAUUGAUUUUGAAGAAAUACAGGAAUAGGAAAAAAAGAAUCUAUAAUUAAGGAUGGGAAGAAAUUAUAAAAUGAUAGAGAAAACUAAGAAGGAAAAAAAACUUAGAAAGAAAAUCUAUACAAUACAUAAAAAGGUGAGUUCCGAACUCUCCCAUGACAACAUAUGU
RNAcentral lists this long non-coding RNA (212 nucleotides) under Elaeis guineensis (African oil palm). RNAcentral describes it as "long non-coding RNA (EGUI_LNC012765)". The record is from RNAcentral. Lineage: Eukaryota; Viridiplantae; Streptophyta; Magnoliopsida; Arecales; Arecaceae.